UGGGACAGUUGGGCUGAUAGCUGGAGCUACUUUAGGAGUUGGUGAUGAUAUAGGAGUGGUUGCAGCUGGAGGUGUUGGUGCACUUACUGGAGAUCGUGUUGNNNNNNNNNGGUGAAGUUGAAGGUGGAGGUGUAGUUGUAGGUGGAGGUGUAGUAGGCAAAGUCACUGGUGAUGCUACCGGUGCUUGAGCAUCGGUAAUGGUUAACUGGAAGCAGAGGCAAGCCAAGAUGAAAGCCAAAAAC
Molecule: unclassified non-coding RNA, 242 nt
Filed under: Hevea brasiliensis (rubber tree)
Lineage: Eukaryota; Viridiplantae; Streptophyta; Magnoliopsida; Malpighiales; Euphorbiaceae
Source: RNAcentral